This 454-nucleotide ribosomal RNA is filed under the name uncultured bacterium. Its description in RNAcentral is "partial 16S ribosomal RNA". It matches the Rfam family "Bacterial small subunit ribosomal RNA", at positions 28 to 507 of the family's 1533-position model. The record is from RNAcentral.
GAUGAACGCUGACAGAAUGCUUAACACAUGCAAGUCAACUUGAACUUCGGUUUGGGUGGCGGACGGGUGAGUAACGCGUAAAGAACUUGCCUCACAGUUAGGGACAACAUUUGGAAACGAAUGCUAAUACCUGAUAUUAUGAUUUUAGGGCAUCCUAGAAUUAUGAAAGCUAUAUGCGCUGUGAGAGAGCUUUGCGUCCCAUUAGCUAGUUGGAGAGGUAACGGCUCACCAAGGCGAUGAUGGGUAGCCGGCCUGAGAGGGUGAACGGCCACAAGGGGACUGAGACACGGACCUUACUCCUACGGGAGGCAGCAGUGGGGAAUAUUGGACAAUGGACCAAGAGUCUGAUCCAGCAAUUCUGUGUGCACGAUGAAGUUUUUCGGAAUGUAAAGUGCUUUCAGUUGGGAAGAAAAAAAUGACGGUACCAACAGAAGAAGUGACGGCUAAAUACGUG